UACAGAGGCCUCGAGCGUAAUCGGAAUCACUGGGCUUAAAGGGUGCGUAGGCGGCGCUGCAAGUGCCUUGUGAAAUCCCAUCGCUUAACGAUGGAACUGCUCGGUAGACUGCAGUGCUUGAGAUUGGUAGGGGCUGCCGGAACUCUAGGUGGAGCGGUGAAAUGCGUAGAUAUCGUGAGGAAGACCAGUGGCGAAGGCGGGUCUCUGGACAGUUCCUGACGCUGAGGCGCGAAGGCCAGGGGAGCAAACGGG
Molecule: ribosomal RNA, 252 nt
Filed under: uncultured bacterium
Lineage: Bacteria
Description: partial 16S ribosomal RNA
Rfam family: Bacterial small subunit ribosomal RNA
Source: RNAcentral